AGCUGCAGCAAUGGACAAAGAGACACUUUGUUGGUGAUGGUGUUCUUAUACCAGCCAGGGGCAGAGCAAAUGGCAGUUCUUUGUUCAUCCUAGCUUGAUGUUUGGCUUGGUGGCCAAAACUGUCAUGACUUAAAAAAUCAA
Arvicanthis niloticus (Nile rat) is the source of this 141-nucleotide small nucleolar RNA. RefSeq annotates it as small nucleolar RNA SNORA48. The record is from RefSeq and is a predicted model, not a curated record. Lineage: Eukaryota; Metazoa; Chordata; Mammalia; Rodentia; Muridae.